GGCGCUGUAGCAUAGUGGGUAAAGCUGCUGUCUGUAGUGCCAGCAUCCCAUAUGGGCACUGGUUCAAGUCCAGGCUGCUCCA
RNAcentral lists this transfer RNA (82 nucleotides) under Oryctolagus cuniculus (rabbit). It matches the Rfam family "tRNA". Rfam says of the family: Transfer RNA (tRNA) molecules are approximately 80 nucleotides in length. Lineage: Eukaryota; Metazoa; Chordata; Mammalia; Lagomorpha; Leporidae. The record is from Rfam by way of RNAcentral.